RNAcentral lists this long non-coding RNA (1241 nucleotides) under Gallus gallus (chicken). RNAcentral's name for it is "lncRNA (ENSGALG00010007373.1)". The record is from RNAcentral. Lineage: Eukaryota; Metazoa; Chordata; Aves; Galliformes; Phasianidae.
CAACUUACCACUGUUUCUCUCACUCUGUGAAACACAUUUGGCUUAUACUGAUAGAAAUUCCUUUGACAAUGAGAUCAGGGCUCUGCUGUGCUGCAGAAACAGCCCAUAGCCUAACAGCCCACAGGAAUUCAUUGUAAAAACUUGGGGACUGCAUCCUGCUGGGUGACCAGACAAUAAAGUCGAAUAGCCUCACUUCUUUGGUGUGCAAAAUCUGUAGGCACACACAAUUUCCACCGCUCAUUCAAUUUUCUUCUUUCAUCUGCCUGAUUUGGAAGGCACUGACUCAUUUGCAGGCGUUCACCAGUGAUGCCUGUCACUUCGAGAUGGAGACACCUCUAAGACAUGACAGAGCUACAGUUCCUGCAGCACCCACAGGAAACAGUUGUUAUCCCACAGAUAACUCCGUUAACAAGAAAUCAGCCAAAUACUGAAAUGUUUGUAGGCUUUUGUGGGAUUGGAAAUGGAGUACAGCAAAGAAUUGCUGGUUAAGCUGCACCUCAUAACAAAGUGGUCAAUAACUGAAAGCAGAGCUCUCCCCACAAACAACUUGCCUGCUUGAUUUGGAAGAUUAAGCAGAUUUGUAGGGAGUUCUCCACCAUUCCUGGACACAAUCCCAAUAACUGGACUACCGCCUGGCUGCUGUCAGCUUUUCCCCAGUCAGCAUCCGAGUGCUGCAAAUCUCAUCCUCUCAUUUCUGACUUCUCCGAAUCCCUAUACAGAGGACAUCAGAAGCAGAUUCAGCACCACAGAUUCCCAUUCUGGGAUUUAACUUUCAAUCCCUGUAUGAUUUAGGUCCUCUUUGAGUCUCAUCUGUGAAGUCCUUUGAAAAUCUGGCUCACUGCAAACCUUAAGAGCAUAUUGUGUACUACUGCCACUGGAAACCUCUCUGGGAACCCACUGGAAGCUGUUGAACACUCCUUGCACAGAUACAUUGGGCAAGCAUCUCAGCCGUGCUUACACCGCCUCUCAAAAGGAACACCAAAAUCUUACAGAUUUACUGGAGGAUACGGUCACUCUCUACUUUCUUUAAGUAAAAAUUCAACCAGUCCAUUAAGCUUGUUGGCUUCGUCUUUCUGAGUAAAUACAUAAUGCCCUCAGAGAGCCUCUUUUCUUCCAUAGCAGAAGGAUCCUCCUUGCCUCUGAGCACAUUUCUGGGUUUAAAAUAGUCCCUCAAAGGUAUUUCUUAAGUAAACCUUUCAGAGGCUUUUAUAGGGCAAGUUUCCCCCUCACCCCCCGCUUUG